This 478-nucleotide ribosomal RNA is filed under the name uncultured bacterium. Its description in RNAcentral is "partial 16S ribosomal RNA". It matches the Rfam family "Bacterial small subunit ribosomal RNA", at positions 28 to 507 of the family's 1533-position model. The record is from RNAcentral.
GAUUAACGCUGGCGGCGUGCAUAACACAUGCAAGUCGAACGAUGAAACUCAUUAGAUUUCUUCGGAAUGAAAAUGAAUGGAUUAGUGGCGAACGGGUGAGUAAUGCGUGAGUAACCUGCCUUACACAAGGGGAUAGCCUCUGGAAACGGAGAAUAAUACCCUAUGAAACCAGACAAUCGCAUGAUAAUCUGGUCAAAAUGUUUAGUGGUGUAAGAUGGACUUGCGUCUGAUUAGCUAGUUGGUGAGAUAAAAGCUCACCAAGGCAACGAUCAGUAGCCGGCUUGAGAGAGUGUACGGCCACAUUGGGACUGAGACACGGCCCAGACUCCUACGGGAGGCAGCAGUGGGGAAUUUUGCACAAUGGGGGAAACCCUGAUGCAGCGACGCCGCGUGAUUUAGAAGGCCUUCGGGUUGUAAAAAUCUUUUGUAUAGGAAGAAAAUGACAGUACUAUACGAAUAAGGUCCGGCUAAUUACGUG